This is a non-coding RNA of Nicotiana tabacum (common tobacco), 107 nucleotides long. NCBI's taxonomy places the organism in Eukaryota, Viridiplantae, Streptophyta, Magnoliopsida, Solanales, Solanaceae. The record is from Rfam.
AUGCCAUGGUGUGGACACUUCACUAUCAUACCCUUGAACCUCUCCCAGGUUUCUUGCAAGGAUUCGGUUGGUUUCUGCCUGAACUGCAAUAUCUCAUCAAUCUGCCU